RNAcentral lists this ribosomal RNA (810 nucleotides) under uncultured bacterium. Its description in RNAcentral is "bacterial SSU rRNA". It matches the Rfam family "Bacterial small subunit ribosomal RNA", at positions 75 to 879 of the family's 1533-position model. The record is from RNAcentral.
CUAGCUUGCUAGGAGGCGUCGAGCGGCGGACGGGUGAGUAAUGCAUAGGAAUCUGCCCGGUAGUGGGGGAUAACCUGGGGAAACCCAGGCUCCUACCGCAUACGCCCUACGGGGGAAAGCAGGGGAUCUUCGGACCUUGCGCUAUCGGAUGAGCCUAUGUCGGAUUAGCUAGUUGGUGAGGUAACGGCUCACCAAGGCUGCGAUCCGUAGCUGGUCUGAGAGGAUGAUCAGCCACAUCGGGACUGAGACACGGCCCGAACUCCUACGGGAGGCAGCAGUGGGGAAUAUUGGACAAUGGGCGAAAGCCUGAUCCAGCCAUGCCGCGUGUGUGAAGAAGGCCUUCGGGUUGUAAAGCACUUUCAGUGAGGAAGAAAGCCUUGAGGUUAAUACCCUCGAGGGAGGACAUCACUCACAGAAGAAGCACCGGCUAACUCCGUGCCAGCAGCCGCGGUAAUACGGAGGGUGCGAGCGUUAAUCGGAAUUACUGGGCGUAAAGCGCGCGUAGGCGGCUUGAUAAGCCGGUUGUGAAAGCCCCGGGCUCAACCUGGGAACGGCAUCCGGAACUGUCAGGCUAGAGUGCAGGAGAGGAAGGUAGAAUUCCCGGUGUAGCGGUGAAAUGCGUAGAGAUCGGGAGGAAUACCAGUGGCGAAGGCGGCCUUCUGGACUGACACUGACGCUGAGGUGCGAAAGCGUGGGUAGCAAACAGGAUUAGAUACCCUGGUAGUCCACGCCGUAAACGAUGUCGACUAGCCGUUGGGCUCCUUGAGAGCUUUGUGGCGCAGUUAACGCGAUAAGUCGACCGCCUGGGGA